UGCAGUCGAGCGGAGAUGAGGUGCUUGCACCUUAUCUUAGCGGCGGACGGGUGAGUAAUGCUUAGGAAUCUGCCUAUUAGUGGGGGACAACAUUCCGAAAGGAAUGCUAAUACCGCAUACGCCCUACGGGGGAAAGCAGGGGAUCUUCGGACCUUGCGCUAAUAGAUGAGCCUAAGUCGGAUUAGCUAGUUGGUGGGGUAAAGGCCUACCAAGGCGACGAUCUGUAGCGGGUCUGAGAGGAUGAUCCGCCACACUGGGACUGAGACACGGCCCAGACUCCUACGGGAGGCAGCAGUGGGGAAUAUUGGACAAUGGGCGGAAGCCUGAUCCAGCCAUGCCGCGUGUGUGAAGAAGGCCUUUUGGUUGUAAAGCACUUUAAGCGAGGAGGAGGCUACUUAGAUUAAUACUCUAGGAUAGUGGACGUUACUCGCAGAAUAAGCACCGGCUAACUCUGUGCCAGCAGCCGCGGUAAUACAGAGGGUGCGAGCGUUAAUCGGAUUUACUGGGCGUAAAGCGUGCGUAGGCGGCUGAUUAAGUCGGAUGUGAAAUCCCUGAGCUUAACUUAGGAAUUGCAUUCGAUACUGGUCAGCUAGAGUAUGGGAGAGGAUGGUAGAAUUCCAGGUGUAGCGGUGAAAUGCGUAGAGAUCUGGAGGAAUACCGAUGGCGAAGGCAGCCAUCUGGCCUAAUACUGACGCUGAGGUACGAAAGCAUGGGGAGCAAACAGGAUUAGAUACCCUGGUAGUCCAUGCCGUANACGAUGUCUACUAGCCGUUGGGGCCUUUGAGGCUUUAGUGGCGCAGCUAACGCGAUAAGUAGACCGCCUGGGGAGUACGGU
This 835-nucleotide ribosomal RNA is filed under the name Acinetobacter sp. Z-1. RNAcentral's name for it is "bacterial SSU rRNA". It matches the Rfam family "Bacterial small subunit ribosomal RNA", at positions 56 to 886 of the family's 1533-position model. The record is from RNAcentral. Lineage: Bacteria; Pseudomonadati; Pseudomonadota; Gammaproteobacteria; Moraxellales; Moraxellaceae.